Phascolarctos cinereus (koala) is the source of this 1339-nucleotide non-coding RNA. Lineage: Eukaryota; Metazoa; Chordata; Mammalia; Diprotodontia; Phascolarctidae. The record is from RefSeq and is a predicted model, not a curated record.
CAGAGAUGUAACUACCCCGAAGUACUGCCACAUUCGGGGAUGACAAAGACUCAGCUGAAAGUCUAGGGCUCUCUUCCCAUCCCAAUCCAGUUACUUCCAUUGUCAGUAACUUUGCUUCCCUAGACUGCUACCUGAGACUCUCUUCUUGUGUAAAAUUGGUGGAGGAGCAAGGAAAAAGGAUUAGAUGGUACCUCUCUAGACAUUCCUCGUCUCUUGGCACUGGGGCGGCUAAAUUAUCAGCAACAGGUGAGGAAACAGCAGCGUUUAUUGAUUUCUUUACAUUUCCUUUUUUGUGCGGUGGAUAUACAUAUAAUUCUGGUUCAAGACAUCACAUUCUGUCAGUAAUUUGAACUCCUCUAUACUGUACUCUACUGGGCAAACUAAGACAGGAUCCUGAGGCAGAGGAAUGGAGAAUGUGGAGGAUGAAGAAGGAGCCAGAAAAGCAUUGGGUUCCCCCAAACACCCUGCUGCCCCUGGCAACCCUUCCUUUCCUGCAAUGAAUCACAGCUCCACAGCCCAAGGGACCCAGGAGUCCCCUCCUCUCCACAAAUACCACCAUUUCCAUAGCAACAGGGCCUCUUUCCUUCCCUCUCUGUGACUGAGUUUUACCACCAACGCCAUUUCCCCAGAGAGUGGUCUGGGUUCCUAGCUUUUUAAAAAAAAUUUUUUUUGGUAACGAGUUUUGUUUGGCCUUAGCCUUUGACUCAUUGGGAAUCUUAUUUGAAUAUCAUAUGCACAGUCCUUUUGAGUUCCUUAAAAAUCACCCAAGCUCUCUUCCCUUUUUCCUAGUAUCUCCCAGACUCCCUCUGCCCACUAAGCCACUGUCCCUCUCUCCUACUUUCCCUUCGGCUCCUCUCUUCUAUUCUGAGACUUUUUCAGAUCCAUAAGACACAUAAAGCGGGAAAACUUGUCCUGGAAGCCCCAGUUGUACUGUCUUGCUUAUGGCACUCUGUGUCAUUCAUCUUAGUACUCAGGACCGGAUUUCUUUUUCAUGUCUAAACACCCCAACUCAAUUCCCUUCAGUCAAGAGGCAGCACCUUGGCCAGCAGCCAGAUUGGAUAUGCCACCUAGUGGCUCAGACUCUCCCUAGGCUGGCUCCACCCCCACACACCCAUCCAGCACACAAAGUGAAACCACCUGUCUGCUCUUCUCAAUCCUCAGCCCGCUGUGGAUAAGUUAUGUGCUGGAUGGGGUGGGGGGUUGGGGGUGGAGAUAUUCAGAGGAAGAAAACACAAUAUCUGAUUUCAAGAAGCCCCUAGUGUGAUGGGAGAGAUACAGCCCUUGCUCUAAGGGAUCACACUCAUAGUCUGAGGAAAAAAUACCUGCUCUUGGGGAGUUA